AAAUCAUUUGAAUCCUGUCCUGGUAUUGCUUUGUGUUCCUGGAUUUGGAGAAUUUCUGGGAACACAGGAAAAGGAAAGUGAAUGCCACCAGGAUCUGAACCCAAGAUUCCAGCCUCGGUCACCACCCUGACCCUGAGAAUGCCACUGGGAUGGGGAGAACUUGUCAGUCUUCAUCCUUCCCCACAAGUAUACUGAAGCCAGGACAGCACCUGCCUUAGAGAGCUCUUAGAGGGAUUAUCCGCAGCCUGAAGAAAGAAGGUUACAACUGAGGAAGAACUUCUGAACAGGGAAGAGUGGAAGAAAAGACUGCAGUACGUAGAGCAUCAAGGGAAGCUGUGGAAAUAUAUUUUCUUAAGUACAGGUAGAGAGGGGAAACAAAAUAUUUAGAACUUGGAAUGCGGGAAGGGGAUAUCCACAGGGAUUCUUAAGGGACAGCUCCAGGUCCUGGAGUGGACCCUAACAGCUGCUUCCAGGCUGGCAUUUGCCACUCCCCACGCCCUUCCCUGCCCCUGCUUCCUGGCCACUUCCAGUCUAUGUCCCUCUCAUAUUUCUUUUGUUUGUUUGUUUGCUUGUUUGUUUUGAGACAGUCUCGCUCUGUCGCCCAGGCUGGAGUGCAGUGGUGUAAUCUCGGCUCACUGCAAGCUCUGCCUACUGGGUUCACGCCAUUCUCCUGCCUCAGCCUCCUGAGUAGCUGGAACUAUAGGCGCCCGCCACCACGCCCAGCUAAUUUUUUAGUAUUUUUAGUAGAGAUGGGGUUUCACUAUGUUAGCCAGGAUGGUCUCGAUCUCCUGACCUUGUGAUCCGCCCACCUCAGCCUCCCAAAGUGCUGGGAUUACAGGCGUGAGCCACCGCACCCAGCCUGUUUGUUUGUUUGUUUGUUUGUUUGUUUGUUUAAAAAAAACGGAGUUUCGCUCUUCUUGCCCAGGCUGGAGUACAAUGGCAUGAUCCCAGCUCACUGCAACUUUUGCCUCCCAGGUUCAAGCGAUUCUUCUGCCUCAGCCUCCCAAGUAGCUGGGAUUACAGGCAUGCACCACCACGCCCAGCUAAUUUUUGUAUUUUUAGUAGAGAUGAGGUUUCAUCAUCUUGGUCAGGCUGGUCUCAAACUCCUGACCUCAGGUGAUCCACCCGCCUCAGCCUCCCAAAAUGCUGGGAUUACAGGCGUGAGCCACCGUGCCCAGCUUCCCUCUCAUAUUUCUAUCUGUAAGCAGCCUGUUGGAUCUCCAGUUUCCUAGUGUCUGGAUGUUGGUAUCCAGGAGAGGGGGCUGUGCUGAUGUGUGUCCCCCAAGGUCUGGGUACUUCCCCAUUUUUCAGUCACUAGGAAGGAGUUCUUCUGAGCUCUCCACUAGAAAACCCCACACCUGACCUGGCAGUGGGGGCUGUACAAUAACCAAAAAAUGAGCAAGGAAGGUCUACAGUAGCCUAGGCCUGUAUGUAGAGUCAGGAGACUUGGAUUUAGUCACUUCUCCUUACUCUCCUGUGAUCCCAGGUUAUUAUCCACUUGAUCUUUUAAAGCCCUUGUUGCUUCAUCUAUAGGCCAGGAAUAAUAAUAAAGUUUACCUUACUGGACUUUAGCAGGAUCAGUUAAAGUAAUAUGUGAAAGAAAAUAUGCUGCAAACUGUCACAUUUAACUAAAAUAUUUUAAGUUCUGGAAAAGGUCUGAUUGCUAGGGAGAGGGAGGCAUCAUGAAUCCAGCCCAGCCCUGGGCUUAGGAAUGUCCCUUCCCACAGCUGUCACGGCCUCUGGUCUUCCAUUAGUUUGUUGGCAAGAGGGGUAUGACUCUGCUCUCUGGUCAUUAGGGCAAGGAGCUAUAAAAAUCAAAAUCAAACACCAAGCAGUCUAGGGAGAGUCGUGCAGUGUUGUCCCUAUCAUUUUUCUCACCUCAGACCCAACCUCUGGCCUCUAGUUUUCGGCUGCCAAGACAGCAGCCCUACCGACACCCCACCCUGACCCUCUGCCCCUUUCGGCAGUCAGCACCUUUGCUGCCAUCGUGCUAACUCACAGACUGUACAGUUUCACCCGCCAUACCCCCCUUCUCUGCACCUCUUCCAACCCGAGCCUUCUGUGGCAGACAGAUGGGGUGUCUGCGAUGGAAAAAGCUCUGGGCUCUACGCCGUCUUGGGUGGGCAGCCCCCCUCCCCAACUCCCCAUUACUCCCUCUCCCCACCUAAGACACUCAGAUUCACCCCAGGCAGCACUAGAAGGGGCUGAGAAUUCCAACUCUCUUCUCUUCUCAGGCUCAGCUCCAGAAGCAGACCCAGAAUGGCAUCCUUCUCUGAGACCCAGACCCCAGCCCCUUUUCAUGGAAGACCAGCACAAAGGAGGAAGUAGGUUAGGGAAUGGUAAGGCUCCAUGUGAUGGGACUAAUGUGGAGAGGCCUGGGGCCUUUCCCUGAGGACUGGAUGGCUGGAGUUUGGGAGCCUGAGUUGACAGAGGAGGCUAAGCCCGGGCAGCUACUUUGUUCCAGAAAUCUAAGGUCCCUGGAGGGAGGCUCUGCUUUGGGAGGGGGAAGGGAGCUAACAUUGCAGAGCACCAACUGUGAACCAGGUACAAUGGCAGAGCCUUUCCAUACCUGUACUCACAACUAGCGGGUGAGGAGUCAAGGCAAAUAGGUGUCUCAUAGCUCCCCAUAUCUCGGCAGUCGACCACCUCCUCCUUUGAUUCUCUGAUGUCACUGCCAGUUCUCCUCCUAUUGCUCUGACCUGUCUUUCUCUGUGUCCUUUGCAAACUCAUUCUCAACUCCUUAGACUCAGUCAAGUCCCCCAGUUACACACUUCCAUGGUACUAUAUAUCAUUCCUUCAGAGCACUUAACACAGUUAUUUCCUAUGUAUUUGUCCAGUCAUUUGAAUAAUGAUCCUAGUUUCAUUGGAUGGAAAGUUCCACAAGGUCAGUGACCAUUUCUAUCUGUGUUCACCAAUGUGUUCCCAGUGCCCAGAAACAAUGCCUAGCAUAAAGCAGCUGUUUUGUAAAUACUUGUUCAAUGAAUGAAUAAAU
Molecule: long non-coding RNA, 2992 nt
Filed under: Homo sapiens (human)
Lineage: Eukaryota; Metazoa; Chordata; Mammalia; Primates; Hominidae
Description: non-protein coding lnc-CDK12-1:3
Source: RNAcentral